This 271-nucleotide ribosomal RNA is filed under the name uncultured prokaryote. Its description in RNAcentral is "partial 16S ribosomal RNA". It matches the Rfam family "Bacterial small subunit ribosomal RNA", at positions 524 to 794 of the family's 1533-position model. The record is from RNAcentral.
GACAGAGGGUGCAAACGUUGUUCGGAAUUACUGGGCGUAAAGCGCGUGUAGGCGGCUAUGCAAGUCGGAUGUGAAAUCCCGCGGCUCAACCGUGGAAGUGCAUCCGAAACUGCGUGGCUAGAGUCCCGGAGAGGAAGGUGGAAUACUUGGUGUAGAGGUGAAAUUCGUAGAUAUCAAGUGGAACACCGGUGGCGAAGGCGGCCUUCUGGACGGUGACUGACGCUGAGACGCGAAAGCGUGGGUAGCAAACAGGAUUAGAUACCCCUGUAGU